GGCUUCGUGGUCUAGUGGUAUGAUUCCUGCUUUGGGUAACAUGUCUAAAUUGCAGGAGGCCCCGCGUUCGAAUCGCGGCGGAGCCC
Byssothecium circinans is the source of this 86-nucleotide non-coding RNA. The record is from the annotation of a GenBank genome assembly. NCBI's taxonomy places the organism in Eukaryota, Fungi, Ascomycota, Dothideomycetes, Pleosporales, Massarinaceae.